AAGUAAUUAGCUCAAUUGGUAGAGCGUUUCGCUUACAACGAAGAUGUUAUGGGUUCGAGUCCAAUAUUACUUA
This 73-nucleotide transfer RNA is filed under the name Guinardia delicatula. Its description in RNAcentral is "tRNA-Val". It matches the Rfam family "tRNA". Rfam says of the family: Transfer RNA (tRNA) molecules are approximately 80 nucleotides in length. Their secondary structure includes four short double-helical elements and three loops (D, anti-codon, and T loops). Lineage: Eukaryota; Bacillariophyta; Coscinodiscophyceae; Rhizosoleniales; Rhizosoleniaceae. The record is from RNAcentral.